Molecule: long non-coding RNA, 374 nt
Organism: Cucurbita maxima (winter squash)
Lineage: Eukaryota; Viridiplantae; Streptophyta; Magnoliopsida; Cucurbitales; Cucurbitaceae
Exons: 3
Source: RefSeq, a predicted model, not a curated record
AUGCUUCAAGUAAGAAAUCGGAAUCACAUGUCGUCUCUUUUGGGUCUCUCCGACGUAGACGGCGAAAAACCCCUUCGGAACAGUCGAUGACGAUUUUCUAGGGCUGUUUAUCAAGCGGAAUCCCAUGGACUCUCAAAAAGAAUGGUUUUGCUGAUGUCAGGACCUCAUGAGAAUUGUGGAAAGCUCUACCUGGCAAAAGGGAAAGAGGGAAUUGUGAUGCCACCCCUUGGAUGGUCAUAUUCAAAUUAUUCUUCUUCCUGACUUGAUAAAUCUUGAAAUGAAGGUUGAUUCAAGUGGGAUAACCCCAAUUCCUGCCUGAAAGGAUCAUAAAAGUUUGGAAAAUUCUUUCGAUAAUUGAAAUAUGGAAGACUCCG